GGACCUAGUGGAGCUUCUAGAUUAUUCCAACAAAUGGAUAGUUGUCGUCAAGGCUCCAGUGUACUGCAACUACACCUUGCUGCAGGGAAGUGGAAGGACCCUUUUCAUAACCCCCUACGAAGCCUGUGAUGUCCGGAUAGUGAAUGAGCACUACAUCCUGACCCUCCGCUACACAACUUCUGGACAACAAGCUUAUGUUCAGAUGCAAUGCCCAACCGGUGCUGUAGUGCCCACAAAACCCCCUCCCUCUACAACCACUCCACGAAAACCAACAAUACCCACUGCCUGCAGAGCCUCA
Long non-coding RNA from Polyodon spathula (Mississippi paddlefish), 298 nucleotides. RefSeq lists it as uncharacterized. The record is from RefSeq and is a predicted model, not a curated record. The transcript is spliced from 3 exons. Lineage: Eukaryota; Metazoa; Chordata; Actinopteri; Acipenseriformes; Polyodontidae.